UACAGAGGGUGCGAGCGUUGUCCGGAAUCACUGGGCGUAAAGGGCGCGUAGGCGGCUUGGUAAGUAGGGGGUGAAAUCUCAUGGCUCAACUGUGAGGCUGCCUUCUAGACUGCUAGGCUCGAGCACAGUAGAGGCGAGUGGAAUUCCCGGUGUAGCGGUGGAAUGCGUAGAGAUCGGGAAGAACAUCGGUGGCGAAGGCGGCUCGCUGGGCUGUUGCUGACGCUGAGGCACGAAAGCGUGGGGAGCGAACAGG
This 253-nucleotide ribosomal RNA is filed under the name uncultured bacterium. Its description in RNAcentral is "partial 16S ribosomal RNA". It matches the Rfam family "Bacterial small subunit ribosomal RNA", at positions 524 to 776 of the family's 1533-position model. The record is from RNAcentral.